Molecule: ribosomal RNA, 463 nt
Filed under: uncultured bacterium
Lineage: Bacteria
Description: partial 16S ribosomal RNA
Rfam family: Bacterial small subunit ribosomal RNA
Source: RNAcentral
GAUGAACGCUGACAGAAUGCUUAACACAUGCAAGUCGAUGGGGAAGUGGUGCUUGCACCAUGGCAACCAUGGCGGACGGGUGAGCAACGCGUAAGGGACUUACCUGCAGGACUGGGAUAACAGGGGGAAACUCCUGACAAGACCGGAUAAUGUCAUGGAGCUGCAUGGCUUUAUGAUGAAAGGAGACGCCUGCGGAGAGCCUUGCGUCCUAUUAGCUAGUUGGUGAGGUAAUGGCUCACCAAGGCGAAGAUAGGUAGCCGGCCUGAGAGGGUGGACGGCCACAAGGGGACUGAGAUACGGCCCUGACUCCUACGGGAGGCAGAAGUGGGGAAUAUUGGACAAUGGGGGCAACCCUGAUCAAGCAAUUCUGUGUGCACGAAGAAGGUUUUCGGAUUGUAAAGUGCUUUCAGCAGGGAAGAAGUAAGUGACGGUACCUGAAGAAGAAGCGACGGCUAAAUACGUG